GAUGAACGCUGGCGGCGUGCCUAAUACAUGCAAGUCGAGCGAACAGAUGAGGAUCUUGCUCCUCUGACGUUAGCGGCGGACGGGUGAGUAACACGUGGAUAACCUACCUAUAAGACUGGUAUAACUUCGGGAAACCGGAGCUAAUACCGGAUAAUAUAUUGAACCGCAUGGUUCAAUAGUGAAUGACGGUUUUGCUGUCACUUAUAGAUGUAUACGCGCCGCAUUAGCUAGUUGGUACGGUAACGGCUUACCAAGGCAACGAUGCGUAGCCGACCUGAGAGGGUGAUCGGCCACACGGGAACUGAGACACGGUCCAGACUCCUACGGGAGGCAGCAGUAGGGAAUCUUACGCAAUGGGCGAAAGCCUGACGGAGCAACGCCGCGUGAGUGAUGAAGGUCUUCGGAUCGUAAAACUCUGUUAUUAGGGAAGAACAAAUGUGUAAGUAACUAUGCACGGCUUGACGGUACCUAAUCAGAAAGCCACGGCUAACUACGUG
This 497-nucleotide ribosomal RNA is filed under the name uncultured bacterium. RNAcentral's name for it is "partial 16S ribosomal RNA". It matches the Rfam family "Bacterial small subunit ribosomal RNA", at positions 28 to 507 of the family's 1533-position model. The record is from RNAcentral.